This 254-nucleotide ribosomal RNA is filed under the name uncultured bacterium. RNAcentral's name for it is "partial 16S ribosomal RNA". It matches the Rfam family "Bacterial small subunit ribosomal RNA", at positions 524 to 776 of the family's 1533-position model. The record is from RNAcentral.
UACGUAGGGGGGCAAGCGUUGUCCGGAAUUAUUGGGCGUAAAGAGCGUGUAGGCGGUCCGGUAAGUCAGCUGUGAAAGUCAAGGGCUCAACCCUUGAAAGCCGGUUGAUACUGUCGGGCUAGAGUCCGGAAGAGGCGAGUGGAAUUCCCGGUGUAGCGGUGAAAUGCGCAGAUAUCGGGAGGAACACCAAUGGCGAAGGCAACUCGCUGGGACGGUACUGACGCUGAGACGCGAAAGCGUGGGGAGCAAACAGG